This 274-nucleotide long non-coding RNA is filed under the name Panax ginseng (ginseng). RNAcentral describes it as "long non-coding RNA (PGIN_LNC017711)". Lineage: Eukaryota; Viridiplantae; Streptophyta; Magnoliopsida; Apiales; Araliaceae. The record is from RNAcentral.
AUUUUUCUAAUAUGUAGUUAUUUUAAUAAAGUAUAUGCAUAGUUCACGGGUUUAGAGGUGGAGGGGAAGCAGGGAGUGGAUAAUUAUAUAAUUGCAGAUGUUGAAAACACAACUCACAACUGGAAUUAAGCUUUUCAAUUUGAAUAUUGUAGCCACAAAAUCCAUCUAUUGGAUCUAAUCACGAAUUCUGUUUGAUAUUCUUUCUUCACGAUGUGUACAGUAGUUAAACUCACCAUAGAAUAUGAUCUUCAGCCUGAGAAAAUUCAUGUUUUUC